CCGCCGGGCUUUCGGUGGCUGACUUCCCUCCUUCAGAGAGCGCGGAGUCGGGCGCCUUUGUCAGCCCUGCCCCCCGCCGGGACUGUGCGGCUCUCCUCAGCCCCACAGCCGCAGCCUGUGACCGUCCCCUCAUGGGGCUCGGCGCUGGCCACGGCCCCCAGGCCGUUCAGACGCGUAGUCAGAUCUCUGCUAGGAGGCAAAGUGUUAGCCACGUGCUGCCCGGCGCCCAGCUGAUGAGGAGGUGUUAAAUAGUAAGCCGUCGGGUAAGGCAGCAGCUAUGCCAGGCCGAGUCUCUGCUACCACGGCUGAACCGGAUUGACAAAUGAAAAUCCAUGUUCAGCGAGGAAUUGUAUGAGACCAGGAACUAGAAACAAGGAUGGGCCUGGCUGUGCGGAGGAGCAGAGAAGAAUAAGACCUGGAGAACAGAUCCAGUGCAGCUUUCGGAGGGACAGAAUGCACAGAGCGGGGUGAUGGCCCCUUUUCACCUUUGGGUGAGCUGCGUCUCACGGAGACAAUCAUCAGACUUUUCUUCAUUAUUGCUUUGAAGAACAAACCUGUACUUGUUUUAACAAGUCACAUCACAGGAGACGUUAUUCUACACUCUCCACCCACACAACCCUGGGAUUUAUUUUCAUUUGAGGACUCGUUAAACAUACCAGCAGUCAACCGAAGAAACCAACGUUGCAAGGCACAUAGGAUUCACCACCUAUAAAUCAUGAACUUUACUUGUGGGAAAGGAACGUACUUGCUUUGAAAUGGAAUGGUCACUAGUACUCUUCAUGGCUACAAGAGCUUGGCUUUAGCUUUUAGUUCUGUGACUCUGAGUGACUAAUCAUAGUGCCAUUACAUCCGUUUAAGUUCACGUGCUUUCUCUCUACCUUUCCUAUACAGAUGAGUCUAAGAAAAAAUAAAGAAAAUAAAAAGCAAAAGCGUUUGAUAGCCACUCAAGUGGCAAACGUGCAGUAGAAUUCAGUCCUACGGUAGGACCAAAUUUCACCUCAUAUUACAUAUUACGAGUGUUUUUAUCUGGAGCAGCAGUUAACCCACAACAACAUUUGGUCACGUUAACAGAUGGUUCCAAGCCAUUCUGGGAUUAGCCAGCAAAGACUAGGACGUUUUUCCUCUCACCCCUGCUUCCUCACAGCAACUUAUUGUGAAAGACAGGCUAGCUAUUUCCCUUAUCAUCUGAUGCAUUUUCUUAGGCCAGUUGCCCACAGCUAGGAAGCAGACUGGGAUGAGGCUAAUCCUAGCAGUGACAUUGAACGUCUGAGGCAUCAAAUGCAUCAUAAUAUUUGUGCCAUACUUUCCCCUAGCAAUAGCAUUCCACCUGCCUCAGAAAAGGGCUUUUGGCUUUAAUGUUGUGACUAUUUCUUUGCAGUUUUUUCAGUGUGUAUAAGGAAGUCUCACAUUUUCAUCAAAAUUAUUUUCAUCUGACCCACCCACGUAUGAGCUUUGCCUUUGUCUCACUUGGGUGCAGCAAGCCUCUGUAUUUUCCAAUUAUCUGGACUAAUACUGUGGUUACUGUAGAGAGCAGGAAAAGUCUGCUUUAUCUGGGGAGGAAGUGCAGAUCUUGCCUUCUUUUGGCUAGGUACCAAACAAGAAAAUCCAAAAGCCUCCCCUCAAAAAUAGUUUCAGAAACUGCUACUCUUCCAUUCAUACAAUCCCUGUCUACUGGCAAGAGAAAUGUUAACAGUGAAUCAGCUGGUCCCUGUUUCAAGGGCGUAUACAUAUGUACAUACAUACGUACGUGUGUGUGUGUAUGUAUUUUCAACUGAGCAGGCCCAGUAGUGUUUAGUAUGCAGAAACAAUAAGAUGUCUCAGAAGAAGUCAGUGCAGUCUCACUUUAAUGUGUUUUUACAUCUUUUUAGGAUUCACAAAGCCAGAAUAUAAGUACUUACACAUUUUAAAUAGGAAAGUAAUAUAUUCCCUAAAAGAAAAAUAAUUUGAUUAAUCAAGUUUGUCAUAAAAGUGGCCUCUGAUAGUUGAAACUUCAAGCUUCUAAGCUAAAAAAGCCCAAAUAGACAAAUUAUACUGAAAUCUUCUUUAAAGACCAAGCAGCUGUUUUAUUAAAAUAUUAAAUUUACAUUUUAAAAAGAAAUAUUCUGAUUAUUUCAAUUAUGAUAAUCUUAUGGAAGUGACAUGAAAUUCAUGACAAUAGGCAUUAUUCUGCCUUUGGAUAACUGCGUACAGAAUUUGGCCAAUCAAGCUUUGCCAUUAUCUAGAAAUGUGCAAGAUCACAUACAGAGAAAAAAACAUUGUGGAAAGACAAAUCCAAGAUACUGGAUUUCAACUUGAUUCUGAUUUUUCCCAGAGACAGCAGGUUUUCACGUCUGGGACUAGGAUGGGAUCCAAAGCCUGCUGUGAUGAGGCCCUUGGUUUAGACCCAAAGAACCAAUCCAAAUCUUACUGUUCCAAGAAACAGAAAAAGGAUUUGAGAAAAUACCAACUUUAUCCCAGAACACAACAAGUGAAUGACCUUCAAACAACUUGGAGCAGGUUGAAUUUACAUUUUACUUCAAAAAAAAAAAAAAAAAAAAAAAGGAAAGUACAUACAUGAGGGGAAAAAUGGGGUGAACAACAAUUAUCUGAGUUUUCUACCGUAUUCACCUACAGUUACCAACUGCGUUUGAAUCAGCAGGGCUCUUGCCAGCUGUCGCACACUUGCUUACAAUAUGAACAGGAUUGUGUAUCAAGGAAACAUUUUCAAAGUUGAGGCCCAAAUGGAAAUAGUAAGAUAUCAUACACAGUGUAAGUUUAUAAUACACAGCUUUUUUUUUUUUAAAUGACAUAAUGCAACAGCAGGAAGGAGAAGUAGUAGUUAACAGUUACUAACACUAGAAUAAUCAAAUUUGUAUGUUAUACAUAUACAGCAACUAACUGCUUUACAAAAAAGCAAAAUAAUACAAUAUAUUGUCACAUGUAUUUACAGUGUAGUAAAUAUACUUUUCUGUCAAAUUUUACACAAAAAGUAUUUACAGGUGAAUAUACUGCAUUAAAAAAAAUUGUGGGACCAACACUAAAAGUGACUUUCUGUGGUAAGUUUGUUGCAUAACAAUAAGACGUGCUUCAUUACAUUUGAAAAAAAAAAAAAUUAACCUUAGAAUGAAACAGAAAAAGCCCUAAAACCUACAACCCAGUUAGGAAUAGAGCACUGGAACGCUCCUAAAUGCUCAGUCCACGAUACUUAUUUGAAAUGUUUCCUGUUCUUGGAAACCUCAUGCACAUUAAAGCAGAAACAUUGGCAUAAUUAACAGGUAGGUUAUGCACUAUUCAAAUACUAUUGAAUUAUCUUUAAGUCAGGGAAAAUACAAACACAAACAAAACGUUAAUCAUCUUUACAGUACUUUAACUGUAGUUAGUGCGUAAUGGAUAACACGGUCUAAAACAGGUUCUAAAACAGGGGUGUCAAACAUACAGUCCCCAUGAUGUAUUUAUAUGGUCCACAUGUUAAAAAUCAGAUUUUUCUGAAUCUAAGUUUUCAUUUCAAAAUGCACAGAUUCCAUGGCUGCAGAGCUAAUCUUCAAAAAGUGACUAGAGUAACCACUGCAAUAAUGAGUGUCCUAGUCUGCCCUAGCCUGCCUCAGCCUGCCUGCAACAAUGACUCGAAGCUCUGAACUCUUAUGUCUCCUGUUUGUUAGCUCAGAUUUCAAGCCCAUUGAUCCUGAAGCAUUAUCACCAGCAACUAACUGCUGAUUACUACACAAAUGGAGUACCAGGAUGAGGAGAGAACCAAAGCAGACUGGACUGGGAAUGGAGAGUGGUGCUCACAGGAACGAAACAAGAGAAGGAUAGAGAAGAUUCAAAGCAGGAAAAGAAGAAACAAACAAGGC
Molecule: non-coding RNA, 3830 nt
Organism: Struthio camelus australis
Lineage: Eukaryota; Metazoa; Chordata; Aves; Struthioniformes; Struthionidae
Source: RefSeq, a predicted model, not a curated record